Molecule: long non-coding RNA, 962 nt
Organism: Myodes glareolus (Bank vole)
Lineage: Eukaryota; Metazoa; Chordata; Mammalia; Rodentia; Cricetidae
Source: RefSeq, a predicted model, not a curated record
CUGGCCUUGAGUUGGCUUUGGAGCCCAGGCAGGUCUUGAAUACAUGACUCUUCUACAUCGGCCUUCCAGAUCGGGUCUCACAUAGCUAAGGUUGUCCUUGAACUCUCCAGGUGGCUGAAGAUAACCUUGGAUUCCAGAUCUUCCGGUCUCUACCUCCCAAGUUCUGAGAUUACAGGAUUCCCAUGGCCGACCCAGGUACUGAGGUACUGAGGAUCACACUCAUAUGCUACCUGAUUCUCAAACCUGUGACCUUGGCCACUGACUGCCUUGGGGAACAAAGGGAUCCUGUGUUCACUGAACAGCUAUCACUAAGCAACGUGUCCGGGUAUUACAGCACCCACGUGCCUGUCUGGAUGGCCUCCCUGGGAAGGAGGGGCAGCACAGACCUGUAUCUGUGUGGCUCCUGCUCCUGCUAGUCAGGUCAUGCAGGCUGGACCAAAGGGCCAGCAAGUCAGGUGCUCCUUUUGGUGGCAGCAUUGGCAAAGCAGGUAGGGGGAGGGAUGGCGCCUACCAGGGUCAUCUGUGAUCCUCACGCAAGUGGGAGACCACAGCUAUUGCUUCUUGGGCUCUUGCCUUGUGCAUGGCCCUAUCUGAGGGACCUUAGAUUACAUCCUCACAAGAGACCAGGAUGAGUGGGAGGAUAUGUGACCUCAUGGAGUCAUGUCCAGGUCCUGACAGCCAAUGCUCACAACUGUGACUUUAUUUGCAGAUACAACCCAGUCAAGAUUCCCAAGGAAAGACCGUCAUGGAUUAGGGUGGGUCCUAAGUCCUCACUGGAGAUGAAAGGGUUGAACAGAGGACUCUGUUGGGGGAGUGGGGCUCAGAACUGUGACGGAAUAUAUCUGUAAUUUUUACCUGUCUUAUUUUAUUUUCCCUUGAGACAAGGUCUCACUCUGUAGCUCAGGCUGGCCCUAAACUUGGCAAUCAAACUACCUCGGCUUGUGUCACCACACCAGGUUAAA